Molecule: ribosomal RNA, 1329 nt
Filed under: Triticum aestivum (bread wheat)
Lineage: Eukaryota; Viridiplantae; Streptophyta; Magnoliopsida; Poales; Poaceae
Description: partial small subunit ribosomal RNA
Source: RNAcentral
AUGCUCAUUCUGGGAAAGGAUCUGAAGACAAGAAGAAAUCUUGGGACUGGAAUUGAGCACGACGGCCUCUACUACCUUACCAAUGCCUCGUCUCCAUCUCCAUAUGCCCUCAGUAUGAUGAAUAGUUUGACCACUGAUGAAUUUCUACUGAUGCAUUAUAGACUAGGGCAUCUGUCAUUCCAAGCCCUUGGUCGCAUGUUUCCAUCUCAAGUUAAAAAUUAUUGUAAGGAGAAGCUUUUGUGUGAUGUGUGUGAACUGGCUAAACACACUAGAACCAAUUAUCCUAGUAGUAAUGAGAGAAGUAAGAUACCUUUUGAUGUGGUGCAUUCGGAUGUAUGGGGUCCAUCAGUUGUAACUGCCCUCACAGGGGAUAGAUAUUAUGUGACCUUCAUUGAUGGUUUUAGUAGGUGCACAUGGCUGUACCUCCUAAAGCAUAAAUCUGAAGUUCUCCCUACAUUCAAAGAUUUUUUUAAUAUGGUGCGUAACCAGUUUGGCAUGAAUGUGAAAAUAUUACGCUCCGAUAAUGAACAAAAUGGGGUGGCAGAGAGAAAGAAUAGACAUCUACUGGAAGUUGCUCGAGCUCUCAUGUUUAUGAUGAAUGUGCCAAAAUUCCUUUGGGGAGAAGCGGUCAAAACUGCUGCCUAUCUAAUAAACCGUAUGCCUUCUAGAGUUCUGGGCCAUAAGACUCCUAUCGAAUGUUUGUAUGGCUCUAACUCAUUUAUUGUGCCACCAAAAAUAUUUGGAUGUACCUGUUUUGUUCAUGAUUACAGGAGUUCAGCAGGAAAACUUGAUCCAAGAGCCGUCAAAUGUAUCUUUGUGGGCUAUUCUUCCACAAAAAAGGGAUAUCGGUGUUGGUCGCCUACUGAAAGGAGAUUCUUUGUGAGUAUGGAUGUUACCUUUCACGAAAAAGAACCAUUCUAUUCCUUAAAAGGGAAUGACAAUGGUACAGGCAACAAGGGGGAGAAUAUCAUAGGAGAGAGCAAUGAUAGGGGAACUGUAAUAAUACCUAUUGGGGAUAUCAUACGCUCAGAAGAUGAAAUCGAGGGGGAGGAAACUACCAAUACAAAUGUAGAAGGUGAUAAUACAUUAAUAUCUGAAGCGUAUGAAAAUCUUUCAGGUCAAGAGGAGAUGGAAACAGAAGAUGGGGAAGGUGUACCUCAGGAAGUUGAUGAACAAGUUGUGAAUCAAUCACAAGUACUAGAGGAGGCACCAACAAGUGAAGAAAUGGCCCAUGAUGAGGGUGAUGUUGAAGGUGUACUUCCUCUUUUAGGAGCUUUAUUGCAUCCUUGGAUUCCAUAUCAGUACCUAAAGAUUGGAAGGAUGCAGUGA